Long non-coding RNA from Sinocyclocheilus grahami, 170 nucleotides. RefSeq lists it as uncharacterized. The record is from RefSeq and is a predicted model, not a curated record. The transcript has 3 exons. Lineage: Eukaryota; Metazoa; Chordata; Actinopteri; Cypriniformes; Cyprinidae.
CAUAAUGGACUUCCCCUCUGAGUGAAUCGCCAGAUGUCAACUGCGAGUUUUCCUGUGGAGCUAACUACACCCCAAAGGCUAUUUUAGGAGCCACAGCACUGAGCAUCUUUGGCUUUGAGCCAACUACACCCCAAAGACUCUUUUAAGGACUACCUAUCACGGCACCUUUG